This is a long non-coding RNA of Hevea brasiliensis (rubber tree), 604 nucleotides long. RefSeq lists it as uncharacterized. The transcript is spliced from 3 exons. Lineage: Eukaryota; Viridiplantae; Streptophyta; Magnoliopsida; Malpighiales; Euphorbiaceae. The record is from RefSeq and is a predicted model, not a curated record.
UUUUACUUCUUUCUUCUUCCUUGCCGUGGCUACUCUCUCUCCUCUCCCUCUCUUACAUUUUCCACCAUUGAAGCUUAUAUUUAACCUUUCAAAACCCUAAAUUACACCACAAAUUCUCUAGUUUCUCAAAUUAAAUCUUGAUUUUGAGUCUUGAAAAGAAGAUUGGAGGAAGGAAAAUUGAAGGAAAUUGAAGAAAAUUGGAGAUAGAAAAGCUUCACCCAAGUUGAAAAAUAGACUGGGAAGGAAGUUAAGGAAAAGUGAGUCAAAGCCUAUAGGUGACUCGUACAAGAUAAGGGAAAAGAUAAGGUAGCAGAGUGAGCUGCUAAGUUGUCAGGAGAGCUACUUUGAGGAUUUUUAUACGGGUAUUGUUUUAUACCCUUGUAAAUUAGUUGAUGUAAAUAUUAUUUUGUUCAUAUGUAUCUAUGUAGUUAAUUGAGCAGUUGUACAUUAAAGUCUGAAAUAAUAUUAUUUUUUAUUUUCUUUCUGUAAAUUGAGACUUGUUUAUGUAAAUUAAAUCAAAAGCAAUGAUGAAGAAUUUUAUUGAACUGUGUUGAGUUGUACAUUUUGAAAUAAGAUUGUGUUGACUUGUGUUGAUUUGAGACUA